CUUCAUUCCUUGCAUCUUAGAUCUAUGGAUUUGGAUGGAUGAAAUGGUUCUCCAAGUUCCCAAAAAUUGAGAACCUCUAAGUCUCUUCACCAAGGUUAGAUUGGAGAAGAAAUGAGUUACCUUGGAAGUAGUAGGAUUGCUAGCUAAACCCUCCAAGGAGGCCGGCCACUUUAGAGAGAAAGGAGAGCUUAUGUUCUCAUCCUUUUCCCCAAAAGAAAACCCUAAAUGAAUUUUGGCUAUAAAGUCAUAUUUAUACCUUAAUUCAUUGGAGUGGC
This 275-nucleotide long non-coding RNA is filed under the name Malus domestica (apple). Its description in RNAcentral is "long non-coding RNA (MDOM_LNC016866)". The record is from RNAcentral. Lineage: Eukaryota; Viridiplantae; Streptophyta; Magnoliopsida; Rosales; Rosaceae.